UCCCCCCUAAAUUCCCUAGUAGCGGCGAGCGAGCGGGAAGAGCUCAAAUUUAUAAUCUGGCACCUUCGGUGUCCGAGUUGUAAUCUCUAGAAAUGUUUUCCGCGUUGGACCGCACACAAGUCUGUUGGAAUACAGCGGCAUAGUGGUGAGACCCCCGUAUAUGGUGCGGACGCCCAGCGCUUUGUGAUACAUUUUCGAAGAGUCGAGUUGUUUGGGAAUGCAGCUCAAAUUGGGUGGUAAAUUCCAUCUAAAGCUAAAUAUUGGCGAGAGACCGAUAGCGAACAAGUACCGUGAGGGAAAGAUGAAAAGCACUUUGGAAAGAGAGUUAACAGUACGUGAAAUUGUUGGAAGGGAAACGCUUGAAGUCAGACUUGCUUGCCGAGCAAUCGGUUUGCAGGCCAGCAUCAGUUUUCCGGGAUGGAUAAUGGUAGAGAGAAGGUAGCAGUUUCGGCUGUGUUAUAGCUCUCUGCUGGAUACAUCUUGGGGGACUGAGGAACGCAGUGUGCCUUUGGCGGGGGUUUCGACCUCUUCACACUUAGGAUGCUGGUGGAAUGGCUUGAAACGACCCGUCUUGAAACACGGACCCAA
Molecule: ribosomal RNA, 588 nt
Filed under: Rhodotorula mucilaginosa
Lineage: Eukaryota; Fungi; Basidiomycota; Microbotryomycetes; Sporidiobolales; Sporidiobolaceae
Description: eukaryotic LSU rRNA
Rfam family: Eukaryotic large subunit ribosomal RNA
Source: RNAcentral